UACCGGCAGCACGAGUGAUGGCCGCUAUUAUUGGGCCUAAAGCGUCCGUAGCCGGCCAGUCAAGUCCGUUGGGAAAUCGGCGCGCCUAACGCGUCGGCGUCCAGCGGAAACUGACUGGCUUGGGGCCGGAAGACCUGAGGGGUACGUCCGGGGUAGGAGUGAAAUCCCGUAAUCCUGGACGGACCACCGGUGGCGAAAGCGCCUCAGGAAGACGGACCCGACGGUGAGGGACGAAAGCUAGGGUCUCGAACCGG
RNAcentral lists this ribosomal RNA (254 nucleotides) under uncultured bacterium. Its description in RNAcentral is "partial 16S ribosomal RNA". It matches the Rfam family "Archaeal small subunit ribosomal RNA", at positions 474 to 727 of the family's 1478-position model. The record is from RNAcentral.